GGAGGAAGGUGGGGACGACGUCAAGUCAUCAUGGCCCUUACGGCCAGGGCUACACACGUGCUACAAUGGUGCAUACAGACGGUUGCCAAGCCGCAAGGUGGAGCUAAUCUGAGAAAGUGCAUCGUAGUCCGGAUUGGGGUCUGCAACUCGACCCCAUGAAGUCGGAAUCGCUAGUAAUCGUGAAUCAGAAUGUCACGGUGAAUACGUUCCCGGGCCUUGUACACACCGCCCGU
RNAcentral lists this ribosomal RNA (233 nucleotides) under Endozoicomonas sp. Its description in RNAcentral is "partial 16S ribosomal RNA". It matches the Rfam family "Bacterial small subunit ribosomal RNA", at positions 1165 to 1397 of the family's 1533-position model. Lineage: Bacteria; Pseudomonadati; Pseudomonadota; Gammaproteobacteria; Oceanospirillales; Endozoicomonadaceae. The record is from RNAcentral.